CUGGGAUAAGCGCUGGAAACGGCGUCUAAUACUGGAUACGAACAAGAAUCGCAUGGUUACUUGUUGGAAAGAUUUUUCGGUUGGGGAUGGGCUCGCGGCCUAUCAGCUUGUUGGUGAGGUAAUGGCUCACCAAGGCGUCGACGGGUAGCCGGCCUGAGAGGGUGACCGGCCACACUGGGACUGAGACACGGCCCAGACUCCUACGGGAGGCAGCAGUGGGGAAUAUUGCACAAUGGGCGCAAGCCUGAUGCAGCAACGCCGCGUGAGGGAUGACGGCCUUCGGGUUGUAAACCUCUUUUAGCAGGGAAGAAGCGAGAGUGACGGUACCUGCAGAAAAAGCACCGGCUAACUACGUGCCAGCAGCCGCGGUAAUACGUAGGGUGCAAGCGUUAUCCGGAAUUAUUGGGCGUAAAGAGCUCGUAGGCGGUUUGUCGCGUCUGCUGUGAAAUCUGGGGGCUCAACCCCCAGCCUGCAGUGGGUACGGGCAGACUAGAGUGCGGUAGGGGAGAUUGGAAUUCCUGGUGUAGCGGUGGAAUGCGCAGAUAUCAGGAGGAACACCGAUGGCGAAGGCAGAUCUCUGGGCCGUAACUGACGCUGAGGA
RNAcentral lists this ribosomal RNA (601 nucleotides) under Microbacterium sp. RNAcentral describes it as "bacterial SSU rRNA". It matches the Rfam family "Bacterial small subunit ribosomal RNA", at positions 138 to 752 of the family's 1533-position model. The record is from RNAcentral. Lineage: Bacteria; Bacillati; Actinomycetota; Actinomycetes; Micrococcales; Microbacteriaceae.